Molecule: ribosomal RNA, 497 nt
Filed under: uncultured bacterium
Lineage: Bacteria
Description: partial 16S ribosomal RNA
Rfam family: Bacterial small subunit ribosomal RNA
Source: RNAcentral
GAUGAACGCUGGCGGCGUGCCUAAUACAUGCAAGUCGAGCGAACAGACGAGGAGCUUGCUCCUCUGACGUUAGCGGCGGACGGGUGAGUAACACGUGGAUAAACUACCUAUAAGACUGGGAUAACUUAGGGAAACCGGAGCUAAUACCGGAUAAUAUAUUGAACCGCGUGGUUCAAUAGUGAAAGACGGUUUUGCUGUCACUUAUAGAUGGAUCCGCGCCGCAUUAGCUAGUUGGUAAGGUAACGGCUUACCAAGGCGACGAUGCGUAGCCGACCUGAGAGGGUGAUCGGCCACACUGGAACUGAGACACGGUCCAGACUCCUACGGGAGGCAGCAGUAGGGAAUCUUCCGCAAAGGGCGAAAGCCUGACGGAGCAACGCCGCGUGAGUGAUGAAGGUCUUCGGAUCGUAAAACUCUGUUAUUAGGGAAGAACAAAUGUGUAAGUAACUAUGCACGUCUUGACGGUACCUAAUCAGAAAGCCACGGCUAACUACGUG